GCUGAGUCAUGCCUGGUUGGCAGGUGCUACGCACGGCAGAUCUCCCGGAGUCUUCACAGCUGGACGGAUGAGCGCAGGGCGGUGGCGCCGUUGGGCGCCGUGGUGGCGUCGACGGAUGAUUGGACUGGCAAGGAUGAUGCGGAUCUCUUUCUUGAAGAUGGGUCAGUGGUUCGAGGAUGAUGGCGGCUGGUAAAACGUGUGCGUGAGGUGUGCGUUUUAGGUGUGCUGCACCGGC
This 235-nucleotide long non-coding RNA is filed under the name Hordeum vulgare. RNAcentral describes it as "long non-coding RNA (HVUL_LNC003182)". Lineage: Eukaryota; Viridiplantae; Streptophyta; Magnoliopsida; Poales; Poaceae. The record is from RNAcentral.